This is a long non-coding RNA of Oncorhynchus tshawytscha (Chinook salmon), 2139 nucleotides long. RefSeq lists it as uncharacterized. Lineage: Eukaryota; Metazoa; Chordata; Actinopteri; Salmoniformes; Salmonidae. The transcript has 4 exons. The record is from RefSeq and is a predicted model, not a curated record.
CUAGGUCCAGGAGAUAUACUCGUAUAGUUCAUUUCACAUAAAUUGUAAGAUGUGAAAUCUGUUGUAAUGUUUUUAAUUGUGUGUAACUGCCUUAAUGUUUGCUGGACCCCAGGAAGAGUUGCUGCUAACUUGUGAGAGCGAGACAGAAACUGAGAGGUGGCUAUCUAUUGGAGGUAGGCGGAGACUUAGGAGACUGCCCUGGUGAAUAUGGAGGUAGGUGGAGACUUAGGAGACUGCCCUGGUGAAUAUGGAGGUAGGUGGAGACUUAGGAGACUGCCCUGGUGAAUAUGGAGAUAGGUGGAGACUGCCCUGGUGAAUAUGGAGGUAGGUGGAGACUUAGGAGAGUGCCCCGGUGAAUACUGAGGUAGGAGGAGACUUAGGAGACUGCCCUGGUGAAUAUGGAGGUAGGCGGAGACUUAGGAGACUGCCCUGGUGAAUAUGGAGGUAGGUGGAGACUGCCCUGGUGAAUAUGGAGGUAGGUGGAGACUGCCCUGGUGAAUAUGGAGGUAGGUGGAGACUGCCCUGGUGAAUAUGGAGGUAGGUGGAGACUGCCCUGGUGAAUAUGGAGGUAGGUGGAGACUGCCCUGGUGAAUAUGGAGGUAGGUGGAGACUGCCCUGGUGAAUAUGGAGGUAGGUGGAGACUUAGGAGAGUGCCCCGGUGAAUACUGAGGUAGGAGGAGACUUAGGAGACUGCCCUGGUGAAUAUGGAGGUAGGUGGAGACUUAGGAGACUGCCCUGGUGAAUAUGAGGCUAGGUGGAGACUUAGGAGACUGCCCUGGUGAAUAUGGAGGUAGGUGGAGACUUAGGAGACUGCCCUGGUGAAUAUGGAGGUAGGUGGAGACUUAGGAGACUGCCCUGGUGAAUAUGGAGGUAGGCGGAGACUUAGGAGACUGCCCUGGUGAAUAUGGUGAUUGCCAAUAAUGCCAUCCGUUUGAGUGAAAUUCAAACUCAAAUAGUUGAAGACCAGGUAGUCUUCCAAGGGAUUGACAGCAUCAGCAAUUUCCACCAUUGACCAGAUCGUUCAGAAGAACCAGAUAAGGACAAAGCAUUUGUUCCUUGUGCCUUUUGAAAGGAAUUCAGAGUUAAGGAGCAACGAUUCCAAUAUGUGCAGGUAGUUGCUAUACUGUACAGAACUUUUACAGUAUGUAGAGUAUGGCCCAUCUCUCCAGAAUAUCAAUACAGAACUGUAUAGUAAUGUGAUACAGUAACUGCAGUACACAAUCUUUCCUUCCAUUACAGUAGUACAGUACUGUAUUUGUAGUACAGUAAAAUGUUUGUGUUUUUACUUUUGUAUUGAAUCUUUGAGCUGGAUGCCAUAGCUGACCCGCAGGAGUACAUCGUCGUCAACGAGGCAGGGUUCAACCUAACAAAAAGGCGCAAAAGGGGAUGGAACAUCAUUGGUCACCGUGCCGUCACACAAGUUCCUGGCCAGAGGGGAGGAACGUCAUUGGUCACCGUGCCAGAGGGGAGGAACGUCAUUGGUCACCGUGCCAGAGGGGAGGAACGUCAUUGGUCACCGUGCCAGAGGGGAGGAACGUCAUUGGUAACCGUGCCAGAGGGAGGAACGUCAUUGGUCACCGUGCCAGAGGGGAGGAACGUCAUUGGUCACCGUGCCAGAGGGGAGGAAUGUCAUUGGUCACCGUGCCAGAGGGGAGGAACGUCACCCUAUGUGCAGCCAUCAGCAAUCGCAUCGUCCUCCACCGCCAUGUCAAAGUGGGUCCAACACGGCACAACUCCUUCCACUUUUAGAUCUUCUGCACAAUAACAUUCUUCAACAGAAAGGGGAGCAACCAGAACCAAUAAGUUGUCAUUUGGGCUGCUCUGAUUCGCUCCUGGUUCAAUGACCACCCCAGGUUCACCGGUUCACCGUCCAAGACAGACCACCUACGCUGCCUGGCAAGAGCAAACAUAAUGGGUGACGUUGAUGAGAUAUCAUGUUCUGACCCAGACCUGAGACGAGAUGACGAGAACACUGAUGCUGAGUAACCUGUACAUUUAAUGCAUUUGGAAAUAAAGCUUUUUGAAAUAGGGUAUUUUACUGUGCCUGGAGACUUCCUUACAUGUUUGGUCAGUGUGACAUUUCAAAGGUCAGGUUUUUGACCAAAAAAACAUAUACAGUAGUAUUCCCUUAUCCACUAA